RNAcentral lists this non-coding RNA (29 nucleotides) under Rattus norvegicus (Norway rat). The record is from RNAcentral. Lineage: Eukaryota; Metazoa; Chordata; Mammalia; Rodentia; Muridae.
UGUUCUCUUUUCUGACCAAGUGUGGAUGC